GCAACUAUAAGUGCAAAAACGGCAAAUAAAGAUGGGGGACUCCCUGCAAAUGCAUGUAUAAACCCAAAAGAAAGAAAAAGUGUAUUUCUGAAGUCUAAUUGCAAUAAAUGUGAACUUCCUGCACUCUGAUGGCUGAACAGAAAACACAUAUCUCAAAGCUACCACUAACAGGUCAGGGUUCUCACAACUCUCCUGGCAUCAGGUGUCCAAAUUCCUUCUUCAUUAAGCUCUGUCAUACUAACAAAUUUGUUGUUUUACAUUCAACAUCCAUCCACCCAUUAUCAUGCCAAGACAGUUAAGAAAGGAAAGCAAACUUUAAUAAAUAUCACAUUUACUAAUGACGAUAGAGACCUAUUUCCUGGGGUUCCCUGGGAAUGGCUCUAGAACAGGAUCCAGCUUUAGUACUGGUCCUGGGUUUGGUUCUGGCACUCUUCGUGAUACCAUGCCUAGUGUGGGCUCCAGUGCUGGUCCCAGAUCCAGCCCUGCUCAAGCAGUGGCUCUAACUCCAGGCUUAGCUCUGGCCCCCUGUGCCAGUGUGGGCUCCAGCUCUAAUGACUCAAGUUCUGGCUCUAGUGGUUGUUCUAGCUCAUCCACUUGUCUGUUAGAGACCACAAUGAGCCUAUGUUUCAGGUUAUUUCCUCUGUUCCUGAAGAUUAACUCUCUCCUGGUAGUAGCACCCAAAAGCCUCAUCCCUGGGGCUUCAGGAGUAGAGGAAGUACAGCAGGUUCUUGGGUAAGUCUGCCUCAGUAAGAGGUUGGUAGUGGUGGAUGACCUCAGUUAGCACGAAUGACUGCAGUACCUCCUGGUGCAGGGCUGCACUUCAUCAUCGUUCAACCAAGAACAGGUAAUACCCCCUCCCAAUGAUUCACUUAAGUGCAACAGAAAGGUACCAGAGAUGGUCUUCAGCAGCUGGCAUUCCUGGCGGUGUUGGAAAAGAAUUGCUGAUUCUAGGCAUGUGAGCUGACCAGACUGAACCAGAGAACCAAGGACCAGGCAAUCAAGAGUAGGUUCAUGUUAGAAAUAAUCACCACACAGAGGGUAUCUGUCUUCAGCUCCUGCUUCAGAUCCUGGUAGGUGCAUCCGACCAUGAAGCUGAUAAAUGUGUGGUUCCUGUUGCACCCAGCAGUCCCCUAUUGUUGCCCUUUCCAGAACCACCUGAACACGGCUCCACCAGUCAGGCAGGCAGAGUCCCAAAUUAAACCCUGAUUCUGCUCCUUCUUGGGGGACAAAGUUUUCUGGUUUGAAGUCAGAAUGCUGAACUUCUGGAAACUUUGUACAGUUGGCCCUCAACAUCCAUGGGUUCCACAUCCUCAGAUUCAAGAAUAUUCAGAGGAGAAAACAUUUCAGAAAGUUCCAAAAAGCAAACUUGAAUUUCUCUUGUGCCAGCAACUAUUUACUUAGCAUAUACAUUGUAUUAGGUAGCAUAAGUAAUCCAGAGAUGAUUUAAAGUACACAGGAGGAUGUUCAAGCUGGUGGAGG
This is a long non-coding RNA of Balaenoptera musculus (blue whale), 1479 nucleotides long. RefSeq lists it as uncharacterized. The transcript has 3 exons. The record is from RefSeq and is a predicted model, not a curated record. Lineage: Eukaryota; Metazoa; Chordata; Mammalia; Artiodactyla; Balaenopteridae.